This 274-nucleotide small nuclear RNA is filed under the name Heterocephalus glaber (naked mole-rat). Its description in RNAcentral is "7SK RNA". It matches the Rfam family "7SK RNA". Rfam says of the family: 7SK was discovered as an abundant small nuclear RNA in the mid-70s but a possible function has only recently been suggested. Lineage: Eukaryota; Metazoa; Chordata; Mammalia; Rodentia; Bathyergidae. The record is from Rfam by way of RNAcentral.
GGAUGUGAGGGUGACCCAUUAAUUGCCAGGGUUGAUUCAGCUGAUCUGGCUGGCAAGGCAGGUGUCCUCUUCCUCCUUCACCGCUCCAUGUGUGUCCUUCUCGAAGCUGCGUGCUCGGUCGAAGAGGACAACCACCCCAUAGAGGACCAUUUCCUCUGUCAAGGAUAUACAAAUAGCUGUACUCCCUUGCUAGAACCUCCAAACAAGCUCUCAAGGUCCAUUUAAGCAACAUUUUCCAGGCAGCCAAGGCUGGCUCAUUUAAGGAGAAAGUUUU